GCUCGCCUCGCCAUCGAUCUCCCCGGUCGGUUCCUAGACCUUGCACUCUUUUCCUUUUUCUCCUUCUUCUUCUUUCCCUGGAAGCGUUAAACUCGUUUUCAUCCCAAAAUUUCCUCAGCCACAGCCAAGGCCAGCUGUGUAGCCGAUUCGUCGUCGUCGUCCCUCUGCUGCUGCACCACAGCACCGCAGGAACACCUCUCAUCGGAACACGUUUUGACGCACUCACCUGCCCGCGUUCGCCACCGGAGCUGCCACUUCCAUGCCCGGUGUCACCAUAGCUCCCGAUCUGGAACUCGCGUUCCGAUGGUGUUGAAGAUUCCACCGGACUCACAGGAACUGAAGUGGACCUAGAAGGCUACGCUGAAGCUUCGGAAGGCCACCUUCCACAAGGCAAGCCACAGUUCCAAUCUUUGAUCAUAUUGAAACCUAGUAGAGAACCACUUAGUUAUUUUAUAUAAAUUAUUUUGCGUAUAAAUUAUUUUUGAAUAAACUUAUUAGUUUAGUUAUUACCCAUUAUUACAUUGUUAUUAUUGGCCAAAUCCAUGAAUUGCUAUAUCACGCCCCUUUGAUAACCUAGUGGAUAAGACCACCAAAUAUCUAUAUUCAUAUACAUAGUUUACCCGUCGUCACGUGGUGGCGUGACGGGUGAUAUAAAAUAUGUUAUUUGAUAUAAGUCACUCGCCUAGAGUGAUAUGGAAGAUUAAUUCCGGGUGACGAUGGAUGUUGUGGUGUGUGAGACCGUGCAUGUUUGUCACGCCUUGAAGUUUCCCCCUCUCCUUGCUUUAAAAAUUGGCUAAAUAAAUUGCUCGAAGAAAUUGUUUAAAUUAACCUAGAGCUAAAUCCCUAAUUAAUAAAUGCAUUUAAUAAUCAAAUUCGGCAUGGUGGAAUUUUUCUUGGG
This is a long non-coding RNA of Oryza sativa Japonica Group (Japanese rice), 898 nucleotides long. RefSeq lists it as uncharacterized. NCBI's taxonomy places the organism in Eukaryota, Viridiplantae, Streptophyta, Magnoliopsida, Poales, Poaceae. The record is from RefSeq and is a predicted model, not a curated record.